RNAcentral lists this ribosomal RNA (400 nucleotides) under uncultured bacterium. Its description in RNAcentral is "bacterial SSU rRNA". It matches the Rfam family "Bacterial small subunit ribosomal RNA", at positions 355 to 772 of the family's 1533-position model. The record is from RNAcentral.
UGGGGAAUAUUGGACAAUGGGGGAAACCCUGAUCCAGCAAUGCCGCGUGAGUGAUGAAGGCCUUCGGGUUGUAAAGCUCUUUUAUCAGGGACGAUAAUGACGGUACCUGAGGAAUAAGCUCCGGCUAACUUCGUGCCAGCAGCCGCGGUAAUACGAAGGGAGCUAGCGUUGUUCGGAAUUACUGGGCGUAAAGGGCGCGUAGGCGGUUUGUUAUGUCAGAUGUGAAAGCCCCGGGCUUAACCUGGGAACUGCAUUUGAAACUGGCAAACUAGAGAUCGAGAGAGGAAAGCGGAAUUACAAGUGUAGAGGUGAAAUUCGUAGAUAUUUGUAAGAACACCGGUGGCGAAGGCGGCUUUCUGGCUCGAUACUGACGCUAAGGCGCGAAAGCGUGGGGAGCAAA